AUUGAACGCUGGCGGCAUGCCUUACACAUGCAAGUCGAACGGCAGCACGGGUGCUUGCCCCUGGUGGCGAGUGGCGAACGGGUGAGUAAUACAUCGGAACAUGUCCUGUAGUGGGGGAUAGCCCGGCGAAAGCCGGAUUAAUACCGCAUACGAUCUACGGAAGAAAGCGGGGGACCUUCGGGCCUCGCGCUAUGGGGUUGGCCGAUGGCUGAUUAGCUAGUUGGUGGGGUAAAGGCCUACCAAGGCGACGAUCAGUAGCUGGUCUGAGAGGACGACCAGCCACACUGGGACUGAGACACGGCCCAGACUCCUACGGGAGGCAGCAGUGGGGAAUUUUGGACAAUGGGCGAAAGCCUGAUCCAGCAAUGCCGCGUGUGUGAAGAAGGCCUUCGGGUUGUAAAGCACUUUUGUCCGGAAAGAAAUCCUUGGCCCUAAUACGGUCGGGGGAUGACGGUACCGGAAGAAUAAGCACCGGCUAACUACGUG
Molecule: ribosomal RNA, 486 nt
Filed under: uncultured bacterium
Lineage: Bacteria
Description: partial 16S ribosomal RNA
Rfam family: Bacterial small subunit ribosomal RNA
Source: RNAcentral